UGAGGCUAAUGAAGAGACCAUGAGGACCAUGCAUGGAAGUGAAAAUGCUAUCGACAUUGAUACAAGCGUUCCUCCUUAUGAUAGAGGGUUGAUUGAUAGCUCAAAUGAAAAAAGGGGCAGCCUGGUGCACGAAUGUAUGCAGCCUACCUUGAUGCAAUUAUUAAAGACAGAAUCCAUGGCUCAAACCCAUAAGCUAUACAGUCUACCUUGAUGCAAUUAUUAAAGACAGAAUCCAUGGCUCAAACCCGUAAGCGACAAGUCACAUGGGAACAACAUUUCCACUGCUCCAACGUUUUAUUUCAUUGAUAGACCAAAUAUGAUGGGAAACUGUUCUCAUCUAUAUUAUGUUGUCUUC
This 355-nucleotide long non-coding RNA is filed under the name Capsicum annuum. Its description in RNAcentral is "long non-coding RNA (CANN_LNC018041)". Lineage: Eukaryota; Viridiplantae; Streptophyta; Magnoliopsida; Solanales; Solanaceae. The record is from RNAcentral.